GAAAACAUAUCCGAGAAGCGACGGCGAGCAUAUAUAUGUCCGUGAAAGAGAAUGUCAUUCACUUUAGCAGGAAAGGCCGAGCCACACACGAGAUCACGAAAUGCAUCUGCUAUCUCUUGCUUUAAAGUUAUGGCUUUGGGGUAUUUCAGGCAUCGUAAGCUUGGGAAAAUCUGAGGCCAACAGCUGAUUGCCUGCUGGAGCUGAAGGUCGGAGUUUGCAGAGCCGCAUAUCCGAGGUGGUUUUUCAAUCGCACCGCAAAAACAUGCCAGAGUUUUAUAUAUGGCGGAUGUCAUGGCAACGAAAACAACUUUAUGAGUGAAAAAGAAUGCCAGCAACAGUGCCUAGGCAAUGUAAUUCUGGAGAAACCUUCACCAAAAGAUGUUUGCUUCCUCGAAGAAGCUGUGGGAAGGUGCAGAGCGGCAUUCCAACGGUGGCACUUUAAUAUGAAACGGGGAAGUGCGAAAUUUUGUUUACUGGAGGUUGCCACGGCAACAAGAACAAUUUCCUGACCAAAAUUGAAUGUGAAGAAUUUUGCCAUGAGUACAUAAAAGAUCCCUGUGCACAGCCGAUUAUCCCGGCUUCGAAGAAGAAGUGCGACCACGAGAAGACAGAAGAGAGAUUUGGUUACAACAAAGCCACCCAAAAAUGUGAAAGUUUUUGUUCAUUCCACUUGCAAGGAAAAUAGGAACAACUUCAAGACCAGGAAGGCAUGCCUCUUAGCUUGCGCGAAAGAAUCACCUUGCUUGUACAAGACGAAGCACCACCGCUCACGACGUUACAAAUCAUACUUUUACAGCGCCAACCUAGAUCAAUGUCUAGAAACUUCCACAUAUCUUUAUAAGAAAGAUAUCUGGCCGACGAACAAUCGGUUCAGGAAACGGGAAGAAUGCAUAAGAGAAUGCAUGCCGGCACAUGCAACGCAUAUGAGAGUGCAGAAGCCAUAACAGCGCAUAAUCUAUAUGUAGAGUAUACCCAACGGAAGUGUUCUUGUUUCACGAAUAAAUGCAUAUAAAUAAUAAACUGGCCAUAAUUCAAGCUU
Long non-coding RNA from Dermacentor silvarum, 1039 nucleotides. RefSeq lists it as uncharacterized. NCBI's taxonomy places the organism in Eukaryota, Metazoa, Arthropoda, Arachnida, Ixodida, Ixodidae. The transcript has 5 exons. The record is from RefSeq and is a predicted model, not a curated record.